This 64-nucleotide transfer RNA is filed under the name Puerulus angulatus. RNAcentral's name for it is "tRNA-Ala". Lineage: Eukaryota; Metazoa; Arthropoda; Malacostraca; Decapoda; Palinuridae. The record is from RNAcentral.
AGGGUUAUAGUCAACAAUGAUUUGUGAUUUGCACUCACAAGGUGUUUUAAUUAAACUAACCUUA